GACUUUGUAGUGAAAUUCAUGGUGGGUUGCAAGUCCAUCGAUGUGUACUGACUGUACGCCGAAGUCU
Molecule: transfer RNA, 67 nt
Filed under: Passer montanus (Eurasian tree sparrow)
Lineage: Eukaryota; Metazoa; Chordata; Aves; Passeriformes; Passeridae
Also listed under: 1 other name
Description: tRNA-Cys
Source: RNAcentral